Molecule: transfer RNA, 63 nt
Filed under: Hydroporus sp. NHM-IR526
Lineage: Eukaryota; Metazoa; Arthropoda; Insecta; Coleoptera; Dytiscidae
Description: tRNA-Leu
Source: RNAcentral
AUUACUUUGGCAGAUUAGUGUAUUGAAUUUAGAAUUCAAAAAUGUAAUAUUUUACAGGUAAUA